RNAcentral lists this ribosomal RNA (846 nucleotides) under Phyllosticta telopeae. RNAcentral's name for it is "partial large subunit ribosomal RNA". It matches the Rfam family "Eukaryotic large subunit ribosomal RNA", at positions 75 to 937 of the family's 3401-position model. Lineage: Eukaryota; Fungi; Ascomycota; Dothideomycetes; Botryosphaeriales; Phyllostictaceae. The record is from RNAcentral.
UUGCCUUAGUAACGGCGAGUGAAGCGGCAAUAGCUCAAAUUUGAAAGCUGGCGUCUUCGACGUCCGCGUUGUAAUUUGUAGAGGAUGCUUCGGCGAGGACUCCUGCCUAAGUCCCCUGGAACGGGGCGUCACAGAGGGUGAGAAUCCCGUAUGUGGCGGGCGGUCCAAGCCAUGUGAAGCUCCUUCGACGAGUCGAGUUGUUUGGGAAUGCAGCUCUAAAUGGGAGGUAAAUUUCUUCUAAAGCUAAAUAUUGGCCAGAGACCGAUAGCGCACAAGUAGAGUGAUCGAAAGAUGAAAAGCACUUUGGAAAGAGAGUUAAAAAGUACGUGAAAUUGUUGAAAGGGAAGCGCUUGCAACCAGACUCGCUCGCAGUUGCUCAGCCGGCCUCUUGGCCGGCGUACUCUUCUGCGAUCGGGCCAGCAUCAGUUCGGGCGGCCGGAUAAAGGUGUCGGGAAUGUAGCACCCUUCGGGGUGUGUUAUAGCCCGGCGCGGAAUGCGGCCAGCCUGGACUGAGGAUCUCGCUUCGGCAAGGAUGCUGGCGUAAUGGUUGUAAGCGGCCCGUCUUGAAACACGGACCAAGGAGUCUAACAUCUAUGCGAGUGUUUGGGUGUCAAACCCAUGCGCGUAAUGAAAGUGAACGGAGGUGGGAACCCCUCACGGGGUGCACCAUCGACCGAUCCUGAUGUCUUCGGAUGGAUUUGAGUAAGAGCAUAGCUGUUGGGACCCGAAAGAUGGUGAACUAUGCCUGAAUAGGGUGAAGCCAGAGGAAACUCUGGUGGAGGCUCGCAGCGGUUCUGACGUGCAAAUCGAUCGUCAAAUUUGGGUAUAGGGGCGAAAGACUAAUCG